GCCCGCUUAGCUCAGUGGUAGAGCGCAUCACUAGUAAUGAUGAGGUCAGAGGUUCGACUCCUCUAGCGGGCA
This 72-nucleotide transfer RNA is filed under the name Exutisphaerella laricina CBS 326.52. RNAcentral's name for it is "tRNA-Thr (AGT) (tRNA-Thr-AGT-1-1)". It matches the Rfam family "tRNA". From Rfam's summary of the family: Transfer RNA (tRNA) molecules are approximately 80 nucleotides in length. Their secondary structure includes four short double-helical elements and three loops (D, anti-codon, and T loops). Lineage: Eukaryota; Fungi; Ascomycota; Dothideomycetes; Mycosphaerellales; Mycosphaerellaceae. The record is from RNAcentral.